CCUACGGGGGGCAGCAGUGGGGAAUUUUGCGCAAUGCUCGUAAGAGUGACGCAGCGACGCCGCGUGAAUGACGAAGGCCUUCGGGUCGUAAAGUUCUUUCGACAGGGAAGAAAAUGCAUAUAAGUAACUGUGUAUGUAUUGACGGUACCUGCAUAAGCAGCCCCGGCUAACUCCGUGCCAGCAGCCGCGGUAAUACGGAGGGGGCGAGCGUUGGUCGGAGUGGCUGGGCGUAAAGAGCACGUAGGCGGUGUUGUCAAUCAUUAAGCAAAGCCUAGAGCUCAACUUUAGUAAGGCUAGUGAUACUAUCAAACUAGAGUAUCAGAGAGGAGUGCAGAAUUCCUGGUGUAGCGGUGAAAUGCGUAGAUAUCAGGAGGAAUACCGUUAGCGAAGGCGGCAAUCUGGCUGGAAACUGACGCUGAGGUGCGAAAGCGUGGGUAGCAAACAGGAUUAGAUACCCUUGUAGUC
RNAcentral lists this ribosomal RNA (465 nucleotides) under uncultured bacterium. RNAcentral's name for it is "partial 16S ribosomal RNA". It matches the Rfam family "Bacterial small subunit ribosomal RNA", at positions 338 to 795 of the family's 1533-position model. The record is from RNAcentral.